This 339-nucleotide long non-coding RNA is filed under the name Homo sapiens (human). Its description in RNAcentral is "non-protein coding lnc-ITGB8-2:7". Lineage: Eukaryota; Metazoa; Chordata; Mammalia; Primates; Hominidae. The record is from RNAcentral.
UUCAGAGCUGAAGGUGCCUCACUGCCCUGUGGAACAGGUGAAUAAAGCCUUCCCAGCAUCUCUCUCUAGCCUAUUAUCUCCUGUUAGACACAGCCCAGAAAAUGAAUAGAGACAAGUCCUGGCUGGGUCUGGGUUCAGAAACAUAAUAGAAGGAUUCAUCUAAUCUGUCGGCCACUGUGGAGGAAGUGAACCUUCUAGAUCCUGCUGACUCAUACAAUGAGUUUUGUGUGGACCAUCAGACAAAAGGGCUGGCUGGUGAAGGUGGCUGUUGUCUGGAAAUUCCUCCCAGCUCUCCUCUAAUUAUGUCAUAAGGACUGGAGGCCCCUUAGCCUGCUUGUG